Molecule: long non-coding RNA, 1889 nt
Filed under: Homo sapiens (human)
Lineage: Eukaryota; Metazoa; Chordata; Mammalia; Primates; Hominidae
Description: HSALNT0315891
Source: RNAcentral
UGUAUUUGCCUUUGAAUUUUUUGGAUUAUCACUCUGGUUAAAUACAUAAUUAUUUUGUGAGAAAAUAGGCUUGCUUAUGGAAUAUUCCUGGAGAAAACUCCAGUGAUAGAGGUGCUCAUUUUACUGAACGAGCUGCAAAAUAGUCAAGUAUUUCAAACACAAUCGCAUCCAGGAAUCUAACUGAAUAAAUUGGAUUGGCCAAAGGUAUUAUCACUUGAUGGCAAUCAGAUCCAAUCCCACUGGGGAACACUAAUUGACCCCUUACAAAUAGUCAUUGGAAGGCCUAUGCCCCUAAUAAUAGAACUUCAUGUAUCUCACAUUCAUGAAUUGUGACAUGACUCAAUAUUGCCAGGCUUUAAAGCAUGUUGCCCAGUUAUAUUUUCACCAGGUAAAAGCCCUUCAUGACCCAACAACAAUCUAACCAUGUACAACCUAGAACCUGAAGAUUGGGUCUUUGGAAAUUAUACCACAAAAAGACUGCUUUCGAAGUUUGUUGGAAGAGACCAUACCAAGUUCUACCCACAUGGCAGUAUAACUUAAGGGUCUCGAGGCUUAGAUCCACUUUUCUCAAUCUAACAGAACCCCUUCAGAAUCUUGGGACUGUAAACCCACUGAAGACCCCAAGGUAAAACUAACAAGAGUGGUUUUUCCUCAAAACCAGCCCAUGGCAGACAUCCAGCUGAUCACACUGUGUCCACAUAAGGCAAAUGCUGAGCUGUAAUCCAUCAAGCUGUUUCCGCAUAGAGAAAAGGCCAUAUGAGUACACAGCCAGAAGGUGUCUGCCUACAAGACAAAGAGGGAAAACUUACCUGAAACCAACCCUGAUGGAUAUUGGAUUUCUAAGCUCCAGAACUGUGAGAAAAUUAAUUUUAUGUGCUUUAAGACACUCAAUUUGUGGUAUUCUGUUAUGGCAGCCUAUGCUAGUCAAUUUGCAUUACCAUAAAGCAACACCUGAGAGUGGGUAAAUUAUAAAGAAAAGAAGUUGAAUCGGCUCAUGGUUCUGCAGGCAGUACAGAAGCAUAGUGCUGGCAAUUGCCCCUGGCAAGGGGCUCAGGAAGCUUACAAACAUGGCAGAAGGCAAAGGGAAGCCAACAUAUCACACGUAAGCUCAGGAAGCUUACAAACAUGGCAGAAGGCAAAGGGAAGCCAACAUAUCACGUGGCGAGAAAGACAGAGAAGCGGUAGGUCCCAGACUCUUUUAAACAACAAGACCUCAUGUGAACUGAGGGGAAACUCACUUUCACCAAGGAGAUGGUGCUAAACCACUAAUGAGGGAUCUGUCCCAUGAGCCAAUCACCUCCCACCAAGACCUACCUCCAAUUUUGGAAAUUAUAUUUCAACAUGAGAUUUGGAGGGGACAAACAUCCAAACCAUAUCCCAGCCUGAGCAGACUAACAGAGUCUCUGAAUAAAUCUAUGAAAAUGACUAGAGUAUUAUUUUGUUGAGUGAUUUCUUCUUGUAUUAGGAUUGGUCUCCUUGAAAAUAUUUUUCUCAUAUCUGUUAUAAUAAAAUACUGAGAAUCAUACUAAUUCUACUCUAAACUUAGAUAUUUAAGAGGGUUGGAUUUGACUGAUUGCUCUGAUGUUGCUAACAUAGUCAAAGACUUUUCAAAACUAAAGUGUAAUAUUAUGUCAUGCAACCUUGAGAAAAUUACAAUGGACAAAGCAGAACUAUAAUUCACAAUUCAUCUCCCAAACAAAUUGUGACACCCCUUCUUUCCAAUCCACUGAAAUAUGCCUAAAAUGAGAAAAAAGGGAAAUCUUAAAAACAACAACAACAACAACAAAGAAAAAACAGAAAACGGCAACAUUCAGGCAAAAAAGAAUGUGAGGACUAUGAUGCUGGCAUGCUAAACUUAAUUAAUAAUAAAUGAGAGAGUUUGGAAUGAU